GUAGCGAAAGUUGCGCUAAUACCGCAUAUUCUGUGAGCAGGAAAGCAGGGGACCGCAAGGCCUUGCGCUCUUUGAGCGGCCGAUGUCAGAUUAGCUAGUUGGUGAGGUAAAGGCUUACCAAGGCGACGAUCUGUAGCGGGUCUGAGAGGAUGAUCCGCCACACUGGAACUGAGACACGGUCCAGACUCCUACGGGAGGCAGCAGUGGGGAAUUUUGGACAAUGGGGGCAACCCUGAUCCAGCCAUGCCGCGUGAGUGAAGAAGGCCUUCGGGUUGUAAAGCUCUUUCGGCCGGGAAGAAAUCGCAUGGGCCAAUACCCUGUGUGGAUGACGGUACCGGAAUAAGAAGCACCGGCUAACUACGUGCCAGCAGCCGCGGUAAUACGUAGGGUGCGAGCGUUAAUCGGAAUUACUGGGCGUAAAGCGUGCGCAGGCGGUUUUGUAAGACAGGCGUGAAAUCCCCGGGCUUAACCUGGGAACUGCGUUUGUGACUGCAAGGCUAGAGUACGGCAGAGGGGGGUGGAAUUCCACGUGUAGCAGUGAAAUGCGUAGAGAUGUGGAGGAACACCAAUGGCGAAGGCAGCCCCCUGGGUCGAUACUGACGCUCAUGCACGAAAGCGUGGGUAGCAAACAGGAUUAGAUACCCUGGUAGUCCACGCCCUAAACUAUGUCAACUAGGUGUUGGGUGGGUAAAACCAUUUAGUACCGUAGCUAACGCGUGAAGUUGACCGCCUGGGGAGUACGGCCGCAAGGUUAAAACUCAAAGGAAUUGACGGGGACCCGCACAAGCGGUGGAUGAUGUGGAUUAAUUCGAUGCAACGCGAAAAACCUUACCUACCCUUGACAUGCCAGGAACUUGCCAGAGAUGGCUUGGUGCCCGAAAGGGAGCCUGGACACAGGUGCUGCAUGGCUGUCGUCAGCUCGUUCGUGAGAUGUUGGGUUAAGUCCCGCAACGAGCGCAACCCUUGUCGUUAAUUGCCAUCAUUUAGUUGGGCACUUUAACGAGACUGCCGGUGACAAACCGGAGGAAGGUGGGGAUGACGUCAAGUCCUCAUGGCCCUUAUGGGUAGGGCUUCACACGUCAUACAAUGGUCGGUACAAAGGGUUGCCAAGCCGCGAGGCGGAGCCAAUCCCAGAAAGCCGAUCGUAGUCCGGAUUGCAGGCUGCAACUCGCCUGCAUGAAGUCGGAAUCGCUAGUAAUCGUGGAUCAGCAUGUCACGGUGAAUACGUUCCCGGGUCUUGUACACACCGCCCGUCACACCAUGGGAGCGGGUUCCGCCAGAAGUAGGUAGCCUAACCGCAAGGGGGGCGCUUACCACGGCGGGGUUCGUGACUGGGGUGAAGUCGUAACAAGGUA
RNAcentral lists this ribosomal RNA (1355 nucleotides) under metagenome. RNAcentral describes it as "bacterial SSU rRNA". It matches the Rfam family "Bacterial small subunit ribosomal RNA", at positions 148 to 1498 of the family's 1533-position model. The record is from RNAcentral.